RNAcentral lists this RNase P RNA (375 nucleotides) under Peptococcaceae bacterium. RNAcentral's name for it is "RNase P RNA component class A". It matches the Rfam family "Bacterial RNase P class A". Rfam says of the family: Ribonuclease P (RNase P) is a ubiquitous endoribonuclease, found in archaea, bacteria and eukarya as well as chloroplasts and mitochondria. Its best characterised activity is the generation of mature 5'-ends of tRNAs by cleaving the 5'-leader elements of precursor-tRNAs. The record is from RNAcentral. Lineage: Bacteria; Bacillati; Bacillota; Clostridia; Eubacteriales; Peptococcaceae.
AAAGUCGGCGAGAUGAUCGCGGAGGCGAGAACCGAAAGGUUGCCUCUGAGGAAAGUCCGAGCUCCAUCGGGCACGGUGCUGGGUAACGCCCAGUGAGGGUGACCUCAAGGAAAGUGCAACAGAGAUAUACCGCCUGGGAUCCGCCGUCAGGCAGAUCUUCGGUAAGGGUGGAAAGGCGAGGUAAGAGCUCACCGGCAGUCAGGUGACUGGCUGGCCCUGUAAACCCCACCUGGAGCAAGACCGAAUAGAGGAACAAUGAAGCGGCCCGCUUCGUUCCCGGGUAAGGUCGCAGGAGGCGGACGGUAACGUUCGUCCCAGAUAGAUGAUCAUCACCUCGCAAGAGGGACAGAACUCGGCUUAUUGCCGACUUUGCAU